Amaranthus tricolor (Joseph's coat) is the source of this 1184-nucleotide long non-coding RNA. RefSeq lists it as uncharacterized. NCBI's taxonomy places the organism in Eukaryota, Viridiplantae, Streptophyta, Magnoliopsida, Caryophyllales, Amaranthaceae. The transcript has 3 exons. The record is from RefSeq and is a predicted model, not a curated record.
CAUUGUUUAAAAGCCAAAAACAAGCAAAUUCAACACUAAUCAACGGUCCCUUUGAAAUCCCUAUCCUGCCCUCAACACUGUUUUUCCUUUUGCUAAUCUUGUUUCCAUCUAACAUGCCAAAUCCUCAUCCUUUUACUGAUCUUCUCAAUCCUUUCUCUCCAUUUUCCUUUACCAUCAUCUGCACCUGAUUUUCUCGCUACAUCCGUCUCCUGAUAUUUUUACUGAUUAAAGACAAAAGGUUUUCGACAAUGGAGUAUACUGGUGUCCUCCUCUUGAAGCUUUUGACAAUGGAGUGUACCGGCGUCCUCCUCCUGAUUUCAUUACUUUUUGGGUUGAAUUUGGUUUUUGCCAUUGAAAGUGAGGGUAUUUAGGUACCCAAGUGGAAGAAGAGAAGACACUAAUGUGCCCUAGCCGCCUCCCAUGAGGCAUUACUCUUUCCAACAUCAAGCCUGGAUUUGAUACGACAUGAUUUUAAUUGGGAAUUCCAGAGCGUAAAAGCCCAUCCUUGAAUUGGGAAUUCCAUCGGCCUAGCUUGGAUGUUGAAUUGUGAAUUUCAUUGCCAAUCUUUAGUAGUUACAAACUAACCUACUGGCUAUGUUUGGCAAUAUGAUAAUUAUAAUUUCAUUGAAGCAUUGUAUCCAAUACUACUUCCUCUUGAGUCCUUAAUACUAUUUGAAUGAAUAUCUUGAAUUGGUGCAACUAUCAAUUGAGUUAUUUGUAAGGGAACAAAACACGACUAGAUUUUUCUUUUUGCUAUUUUUUUUAUUAAAUCAUUGCAAGUCAAGUUUAAUUUUGGUUUCCUUUUGAUUAUUAAAAGAAUUUGUAAUUUUGCUAUUCUUUAAAAAAGUAGACCUCCAAAUAGCAACAUAGUUGCAAUUAUUUUUGUUUGUUAUAAUGAUGUAUGUUGUUUCAGGUAUUGGGACUAGUAUCAAAUCAUUUCGUUUCUUAAUCGCCGUAAUUUUAAAUUUCAAUUUUUAUUUUUCGUCACCCUUUUCAUUUUAUUGCUACUUAUAUUUUAAAUUAAUUUAAUAAAAUAACAAAACCGCCCUUAGACUUAAAAAUUUUAAAAUUUUUAUAAAACGCUUUUAAAGAGGGUAUUAAAUGAGCUAUUACCGCUACCCAGCGUUUUUAAUGGGCACACGCAUUUGAUAACGAAUCAGCAAUCGAGGAUAAGACAAGUUCUG